Etheostoma spectabile (orangethroat darter) is the source of this 142-nucleotide long non-coding RNA. RefSeq lists it as uncharacterized. NCBI's taxonomy places the organism in Eukaryota, Metazoa, Chordata, Actinopteri, Perciformes, Percidae. The record is from RefSeq and is a predicted model, not a curated record. The transcript is spliced from 3 exons.
CUGCAGCGAUCGUUUCAGCAUCACCUUUAUUUCUCGCGUGAGACGCGAGUUGAUGUGUCAAGCCAGGCAGGUAAUCACAUACAGGAAGACCACGGUGCAGCCGGAUACUUCACAAAAAUAAAACUCAGAGGUUUGGCUAUAG